RNAcentral lists this unclassified non-coding RNA (138 nucleotides) under soil metagenome. Its description in RNAcentral is "partial internal transcribed spacer 1". The record is from RNAcentral.
CAUUCAGUAGCCAGCUACUUGUUUACACCCUUGUCUUUUUGCGUACUUAUCGUUUCCUCGGCGGGCUUGCCUGCCGGUUGGACAACUUUAUAACCUUUUUAAAUCUUCAAUCAGCGUCUGAAUAAUAUACAAUAAUUA